UGGGGGAUUUUGCACAAUGGGCGCAAGCCUGAUGCAGCGACGCCGCGUGAGGGAUGAAGGCCUUCGGGUUGUAAACCUCUUUCGAUGGGUUGAAAGGCCAUGCUUUGGGUGUGGUUGAUUUGAACUGGUAAAGAAGUACCGGCUAACUACGUGCCAGCAGCCGCGGUAAUACGUAGGGUACUAGCGUUGUCCGGAUUUAUUGGGCGUAAAGGGCUUGUAGGUGGUUUGUCGCGUCUGUCGUGAAAUCCUGUGGCUUAACCAUGGGCUUGCGGUGGGUACGGGCAGGCUUGAGUGCGGUAGGGGAGACUGGAAUUCCUGGUGUAGCGGUGGAAUGCGCAGAUAUCAGGAGGAACACCGGUGGCGAAGGCGGGUCUCUGGGCCGUUACUGACACUGAGGAGCGAAAGCGUGGGGAGCGAACAGG
This 422-nucleotide ribosomal RNA is filed under the name Fusobacteriota bacterium. Its description in RNAcentral is "Fusobacteria bacterium partial 16S ribosomal RNA". It matches the Rfam family "Bacterial small subunit ribosomal RNA", at positions 355 to 776 of the family's 1533-position model. Lineage: Bacteria; Fusobacteriati; Fusobacteriota. The record is from RNAcentral.